Molecule: non-coding RNA, 196 nt
Organism: Oryza glaberrima (African rice)
Lineage: Eukaryota; Viridiplantae; Streptophyta; Magnoliopsida; Poales; Poaceae
Source: Rfam
UAUGACUGUGAUUGUACGGUUUUUAUGUCCAACGUUUGACCGUCCGUCUUACUUGAAAAACUUAUAAAAAAAUAAAUCACGCAUAAAGUAUUAUUCAUGUUUUGUCAUCUAAUAACAAUAAAAAUAUUAAUCAUAAAAAAUUUCAAAUAAGACGGAGAAUCAAACAUUGGAUAAAAAAUCCAUAAUUAUACUUAAA